AAUUAUACAGGUUUUAUUUUUAUGGUUCUACCUUUUCAUUCACCAGUUUUGAGAUUAAUUCUUGCAGUGUAUGUCAGUAUUUCAUUCUCUUUUAUUGCUAAGUAACAUCCCAUCACAUUAAUGAACCACAAUUUAUUCACCCAUUGAUAGAAAUUUCAGUUGUUUUCAGUUUGGGGCUAUUAUGAAUAAAUCUGAUAUGAACAUUCAUGUACAAAUUUUUGUGUAGAUAUUUUCAUUUAUAUUGUAUAAAUUUCUAGGUUUUGAACUGCUGGGUCAUAGAGUAAAUGGUAUGUAUAACUUUUAUAAGACACUGCCAACUUGUGUAAGUGUCUAUACCAUUUUGCAAACCAGCAGCAAAAUAUAAAUUUUCCAAUCACUCCUAGCCUUGACCACUUAUGGUAUCAUCAUCUUGGAAUUUUUAGCUUUCCUAAUUUGUAUAGUAGUGCUUUACAGUGGCUUCAAUUUGCAUUUCCCUGAUGAUGGCUUUCAAUAUUUUUCAUGUAAUUGAUGGUCAUUUCUCUCUCUUUUGUUAAGUACAUGUUUAAAUCUUUUGCUCACUUCAAGACAUAGGUGAUUAGGGUCCACAUCCCUGCAACCUUAGGUUGCACCUCACAGCUUCAGCACACCGUCAAGGAAAGAAGCCGCUACCUUUCACAGCAAAGAGACUGAUCCCCGCAGCCUGGGGUGGGUGGUAGAAGUCAUGCCUGGUGUUCUGUAGUGCCAGCAGAACAGGAGAAGGAUCCCAUUUCUCUGAAGAGAGUUUGAGGUGGCAGUAGUGGACUGGAUGGGUUAGGAGGUCCAGUUGUACAACUACGAAGCCUACAUAAGAAAAAAUACAAGACAAAUACAUAGGAACCCGUUCCUCCAUUGUCUGAGUAUGUUCCUCCACCAAAUCCAAACCCUUGAUGAUCUAGUGACUGCUAAUCCAUUUGACGACAACUAUAACACUCUUUCCUACACCACAACCUUCAUCACAUCAGUGUCUCAGCCCUGAUGUGCCUUUGGAAGCUAAAUGGCAUUCAGAAUGUCACCUCAUGUUGCCCCCAAGAAUUUCUUCCCCAUAUUGUGAUCCUUACUCAGGAAUCA
Molecule: long non-coding RNA, 1086 nt
Filed under: Marmota monax (woodchuck)
Lineage: Eukaryota; Metazoa; Chordata; Mammalia; Rodentia; Sciuridae
Source: RNAcentral